Long non-coding RNA from Vidua chalybeata, 1197 nucleotides. RefSeq lists it as uncharacterized. NCBI's taxonomy places the organism in Eukaryota, Metazoa, Chordata, Aves, Passeriformes, Viduidae. The transcript has 5 exons. The record is from RefSeq and is a predicted model, not a curated record.
UCUAGGUGAUAGUAAUUAACUCAGUUCUAACGAGUCAAGAUUGCUGCUUAAUGCUUAAAUAAUUUUUCAUUCUAGAAACUCCAGUGUUGCAUGAAGCUUUUUAUUUCAUCUUAGGAAGCAGCAGCAGUUCAACAGCCCUUGUUUCAAACAUGACUCCUGGUUGCAAAGAGCAUUUUCACUUUUCUCUUUACAGUUGUUCACCAGUAUAUUUCUGUCUAUGACCAGUGUAUAAAAUCAGUUUCACAGAUGUGUUACACUGUCAUCCAGAAUUCAAGUUGAUAAAUGUGACUGAAGAGGAAGGUUAAAACACAGCAGGGCAAGACUUUCUACUAACAGGAGUCAACAAUAACAUUGAAAAUGUUAAAUCUAUACAAAAUUUCACAGACACUGCUGUUACAUUUUCAAGUAAUGGAACUCCUCCACCAAAGCUAACAAUGUGUUUCUCAUAACAGCACUUUAUCUUUUCAAGAGAUGGCUACAAGAUAUUCCUAUACCAUUACUGUGAAAGAGUUUGCUGUGGUAUCUGUCAGCCACUGGGGUUUCUUUAGAAGCAAGUCAGGAGGAGGAUCUCCAUUGAUGCUGGUGGCUCUUGACUUGGAUCCAUGGGGUUUGUUAAGUGACACCAGUGUCAUGAAGUGAUAAGGAAAGGUCGCGCUGACCCGGAUUUUAGACUGAGCCCUCUGUGUCAGCCCAGAUGUGCUGCAACAGCAAGAAUAAGUUAAGAAGGACAGACAAAAGAAACCCUUACAGAGGUGGGUUCCUGCCAUAUUGAAAACUUUCAAAGGAUGAAAUGGAUUGGUUUGGCAGAUCCAAAGAGCCUGAAUUAAUCCCCUGGUUAGAGCAUCUGAACACUGCUGAUGUGGAACAGCACAGCCAGCAAUGUAAAGUGCAUCCCUGUAAUCUUGUUUAAUCCGAUAAACUGGAGAAAAUGAUCAGCACGCUCUAAAGACAGCACUGAUGUGGAGCCAGGCCAAUUUAGCACGUCUGCUGUGUGGAGGUGGUGGAGCUCCUGAAGGUCUGCUCUGGAGCCACUGGGAUUGUCCUUGCAUGAGGGUCAACAGUCAGCACCUGCUCAGUGCACACAAGGGGAGCAGCACCUGAGUAUGUCAAGACUUCCCAGAUUCAGAAGGUCUAUGUGAUAUUUUCUCAACAGACGACCCUCGGCUUUCCCGUAGUAAUUUUGGUGCGCUGGCCUGU